This is a non-coding RNA of Pelobates cultripes (western spadefoot toad), 203 nucleotides long. The record is from the annotation of a GenBank genome assembly. NCBI's taxonomy places the organism in Eukaryota, Metazoa, Chordata, Amphibia, Anura, Pelobatidae.
CAGCUGUAACCAACACCUCCAAUCUCAUCUCAUUGAUUGGACUCCAGUUGGCUGACAUCUCACUCCAAUUAGCUCUUGGAGAUGUCAUUAGACUAGGGGUUCACAUACUUUUUCCACCUGCACUGUGAAUGUUUACAUGGUGUGUUCAAUAAAAACAUGGCAACAUUUCAUUCUUUGUGUGUUAUUAGUUUAAGCAGACUGUG